RNAcentral lists this ribosomal RNA (352 nucleotides) under Hippocampus ramulosus (Mediterranean seahorse). Its description in RNAcentral is "partial 12S ribosomal RNA". It matches the Rfam family "Bacterial small subunit ribosomal RNA", at positions 801 to 1360 of the family's 1533-position model. Lineage: Eukaryota; Metazoa; Chordata; Actinopteri; Syngnathiformes; Syngnathidae. The record is from RNAcentral.
AAACAAAAGUAUUUUAAUUACAUCAUACUCGCCAGGGUACUACGAGCUUUAGCUUAAAACCCAAAGGACUUGGCGGUGCUUUACACCCACCUAGAGGAGCCUGUUCUAUAACUGAUAACCCCCGUUAAACCUCACCCUAUUUUGCUUAAUCAAUUUAUAUACCGCCGUCGUCAGCUUACCUUGUGAAAGAACAACAGUGAGCAGAACUAGUAACAACCCAAAACGUCAGGUCGAGGUGUAGUUUAUAAUAGGGGAAGAAAUGGGCUACACUCAUUUACUAAUGAAUACGGAUGGUAUAUUGAAACAUAAACCUAAAGGAGGAUUUAGCAGUAAGAAGAAAAUAGAGUGUUCA